RNAcentral lists this ribosomal RNA (451 nucleotides) under uncultured bacterium. RNAcentral describes it as "bacterial SSU rRNA". It matches the Rfam family "Bacterial small subunit ribosomal RNA", at positions 29 to 524 of the family's 1533-position model. The record is from RNAcentral.
AGCGAACGCUGGCGGCAGGCCUAACACAUGCAAGUCGAACGGAUCCUUCGGGAUUAGUGGCGGACGGGUGAGUAACACGUGGGAACGUGCCCUUUGGUUCGGAACAACUCAGGGAAACUUGAGCUAAUACCGGAUGUGCCCUUCGGGGGAAAGAUUUAUCGCCAUUGGAGCGGCCCGCGUCUGAUUAGCUAGUUGGUGAGGUAAAGGCUCACCAAGGCGACGAUCAGUAGCUGGUCUGAGAGGAUGAUCAGCCACAUUGGGACUGAGACACGGCCCAAACUCCUACGGGAGGCAGCAGUGGGGAAUCUUGCGCAAUGGGCGAAAGCCUGACGCAGCCAUGCCGCGUGAAUGAUGAAGGUCUUAGGAUUGUAAAAUUCUUUCACCGGGGGACGAUAAUGACGGUACCCGGAGAAGAAGCCCCGGCUAACUUCGUGCCAGCAGCCGCGGUAAU